RNAcentral lists this long non-coding RNA (437 nucleotides) under Trifolium pratense (red clover). RNAcentral describes it as "long non-coding RNA (TPRA_LNC009317)". Lineage: Eukaryota; Viridiplantae; Streptophyta; Magnoliopsida; Fabales; Fabaceae. The record is from RNAcentral.
AAUAGAACUUAAACUCUUACGAUCAAACUAUUAAAAACGGAAACACACCACACUCACACACCUAAACAAAGAAGCACACUAAACACACUAAGCACACCACACCCACACACCAAGUUUAUAGAAGAACAUUUAUUUUGUGCUACUGUACUCCUCUUUCCUUUGCUCUUUUGUUUCAAAGUUAGUGUGACACUUCAAAUACUCAAACUUUCCACCAUGUGUAGCGGACAUAGUAUCUUUUUCAGCUUUCUGGUCUGCAAAUAUGUUGUUGUUGUCACUUUGGGUGUCGUCGAAGUCUUUGUUGCUGCUGUUGGUGUUGUUGUCGCUUGUUACUGCUGGAGCCAUUAAACCGAACAAAUUUUCUACAACAAAUCAAAUAAAAUGAUAUUAACUAUGUAAUUUGGGUAUGGAGUAUGGACAUCAACCCUGUUACUUGUUAC